ACACCCAGCAGCAACCGAGCGAGCAAGACAUGGCGGCGCUGCGCUUAGGUCUGGAUGCGGCGUCGCAGCCAUGUUGCGUCCUGGCUCGCGGUGCCUUGCCAGAGACGCGGGGUGUUGUGGGCUCCGUGGCCACCACUUGGGCUCCCCACGGAGGCCGUCGAUGGCGGUCGUGGCCCCCACCCCACUCCCUCACUGCCGCAAGGCGGCGGCGGCCACCAGCCAGGUAACCGCGGGAUCAUCCCCAACUCAGCUGGACUCCAGACAGUGGCACCGCGCAAGUGCGCGACGCCAACGCAACUACCGGAGCCGGCUAGCUUCGGACGUGCGGGUGCGGAAGUGCGAGCCUGUGAGGCCUAGGCUGGUCGGUCGUCUCCACAUCGAGGGCCACGUGCUGAUGAAGCGAGGUAUUAGUUUUGCUAAUUAUACCUUCUAUAUUUCGCUAGCAAUUAAUAGUCUGAGUACUUGAAUACUUGAUUUCUUAUUGUGUGCUAGAGGCCGAGCAGUGAGGAACAAGUAUUAGUAGUACUUGCCUGUUAUUUAUUUUACCAAUGCAUCUCGGAUCUAGUAUAAGUAGCACUUAUUCUUUUAUGACUACAUCUUGGAUCUAGUAAUAGGAUUUGCAGGACUUCCUACAAGAUCCUCUCUUAUGAUGAGCUUGUUCACGAUCCGGCCGCUUCAAGUUUGAAUUCUGAAAUAACUACGAGUUAUUGGUUGGGGGGGGGGGGGAAUGCCACAACUGGGAAUGGUGGUUCUGUCAACAUCUAGUUACUUUUAUCAAAUAAUAAGUUUUCUAGACUGAAUCCAAAGGCACACUGUCAUGCUGGUUUUCAGUUCACACUGCAUAAUGUAACUCUUAUAAGCUGCAUUUAGGUGUAGUAACUAUGAUGAUUUAUGUCAAUUUGUUACUAUUUCCUAGCAGAACAGUUGUACUACCAUUUAUGUCAAUUGAUUUAUGUCAAUUUGUUACUAUUUCCUACCUGGCAAUUUAUGGUACAUUUUCUUCUCCUUUAGAAGCAGAUAAGGUAAAUUUGUACUUAGCAGCAUUUGAGACUUUGUUAAUUAAGAGUCUGUUUCACAGCAAUAGUUCUAUAUCCCAGCACUGAUUUCAAACAUUUUGUACCAUUGUAUUGUCAUGGUUACUUUUGUCUAACUUGUGUUGAUUUGUGCAAUGCAGGUGAUUGUUGAGAAGGCUGAGAGUUAAUUAUCAACUUCUCUAAGUUACCAUAACAGCUAUAUUUUUUUUACAAUGACUAUCCUCAUCUUUAAUUGUUUAUGGGUAAUAUUCUUUCCCCUGAUGACUGAUGGCAGUUGGUGCCAUAAUUUGGCUACCCCAAGAUAAAUAUGCAACACUAUAUUCAAUUGUCUCACUAUUAUCAUUACAGAAAGUGCUCACUGCUCUCAUUUCAAUAUUUUUACACAUCACCAUAUACUUAUUGUGUGUUCACUGUUUUAUAUUUAACAAUUAGGCAGUAACACAUCUCCAUAUACUUAUUGCAAGUUUAUUUCAAAUUGCAGAAGCUGAACUGAGCAUUAUGAAUCUGUAUGCUGAUUCCUAAUGAUAUAUAUCAAGAAGGCGUAAUUGUGAGAGAGACAUGAUGGUUUGAGUGCAACUUGGAGUAGCGAGCGAGCUCAUAUGCAUUGGUGAAGGAUCUUUUUAUGUUUGUGUUAAGUAGAUCAAGUCUUGUUAGAUUGAUUCAAUAGUUUUCAACUGAGUUGAUUGUAACUUGCUACUGGAAUAUCUAUGAAUAUUUCUGCUCAUUAAAAUUACUGCAUAUCAGCAGCAAUGUAUUUGUUUUACGUGCCAUAUGUUGUUCCUGUAAUAUUAUUGGAAGAAUAAUGAUAUGUUGCCGGUCACUACCUUGAUCAAUGGAACUUGAUAUGGACUGGAUGUUUGAUGGAUGCAA
Molecule: long non-coding RNA, 1904 nt
Organism: Panicum virgatum (switchgrass)
Lineage: Eukaryota; Viridiplantae; Streptophyta; Magnoliopsida; Poales; Poaceae
Exons: 2
Source: RefSeq, a predicted model, not a curated record